GAUGAAGAACGCAGUGAAACGCGAUAUGUAAUGUGAAUUGCAGAAUUCAGUGAAUCAUCGAAUCUUUGAACGCACAUGGCGCCUUCCAGUAUCCUGGGAGGCAUGCCUGUCCGAGCGUCGUUUCAACCCUCGAGCCCCUGUGGCCCGGCGUUGGGGAUCUGCCACGGCAGGCCCCUAAAACCAGUGGCGGACCCGAAGGGCCCUCUCCUUUGCGCAGUAGCAUUCGCCUCGCAUCGGGAGCCCUCGGCGUCCUGCCUCUAAACCCCCCACAAGCCCGCUUCGGCGGCACCAAGGUUGACCUCGGAUCAGGUAGGAAUACCCGCUGAACUUAAGCAUAUCAAUAAGCGGAGGA
Molecule: unclassified non-coding RNA, 352 nt
Filed under: soil metagenome
Description: partial contains 5.8S ribosomal RNA, internal transcribed spacer 2, and large subunit ribosomal RNA
Rfam family: 5.8S ribosomal RNA (bases 1-120)
Source: RNAcentral